UACAGAGGAUGCAAGCGUUAUCCGGAAUGAUUGGGCGUAAAGCGUCUGUAGGUGGCUUUUUAAGUCCGCCGUCAAAUCCCAGGGCUCAACUCUGGACAGGCGGUGGAAACUACCAAGCUGGAGUACGGUAGGGGCAGAGGGAAUUUCCGGUGGAGCGGUGAAAUGCGUAGAGAUGCGGAGGAACACCGAUGGCGAAGGCAGCCCCCUGGGCUAACACUGACGCUCAGGCACGAAAGCGUGGGGAGCAAACAGG
Molecule: ribosomal RNA, 253 nt
Filed under: uncultured bacterium
Lineage: Bacteria
Description: partial 16S ribosomal RNA
Rfam family: Bacterial small subunit ribosomal RNA
Source: RNAcentral